This 384-nucleotide ribosomal RNA is filed under the name uncultured bacterium. RNAcentral describes it as "bacterial SSU rRNA". It matches the Rfam family "Bacterial small subunit ribosomal RNA", at positions 30 to 418 of the family's 1533-position model. The record is from RNAcentral.
AUUGAACGCUGGCGGAAUGCUUUACACAUGCAAGUCGAACGGUAGAGGGGGCAACCCCCUUGAGAGUGGCGAACGGGUGAGUAAUAUAUCGGAACGUGCCCAGUCGUGGGGAUAACGUAGCGAAAGUUACGCUAAUACCGCAUACGAUCUAAGGAUGAAAGCGGGGGAUCGCAAGACCUCGCGCGAUUGGAGCGGCCGAUAUCAGAUUAGGUAGUUGGUGAGGUAAAGGCUCACCAAGCCAACGAUCUGUAGCUGGUCUGAGAGGACGACCAGCCACACUGGAACUGAGACACGGUCCAGACUCCUACGGGAGGCAGCAGUGGGGAAUUUUGGACAAUGGGCGCAAGCCUGAUCCAGCAAUGCCGCGUGCAGGAUGAAGGCCUU